This 567-nucleotide ribosomal RNA is filed under the name Ornithinimicrobium pekingense. RNAcentral describes it as "bacterial SSU rRNA". It matches the Rfam family "Bacterial small subunit ribosomal RNA", at positions 46 to 628 of the family's 1533-position model. The record is from RNAcentral. Lineage: Bacteria; Bacillati; Actinomycetota; Actinomycetes; Micrococcales; Ornithinimicrobiaceae.
GCUUACCAUGCAGUCGAACGAUGAAGCCCAGCUUGCUGGGUGGAUUAGUGGCGAACGGGUGAGUAACACGUGAGUAACCUGCCCAUCACUCUGGGAUAACUCCGGGAAACCGGUGCUAAUACUGGAUAUGACUCCAACCUGCAUGGGUAUGGGGUGGAAAGAUUUAUCGGUGGUGGAUGGACUCGCGGCCUAUCAGCUUGUUGGUGGGGUAAUGGCCUACCAAGGCGACGACGGGUAGCCGGCCUGAGAGGGUGACCGGCCACACUGGGACUGAGACACGGCCCAGACUCCUACGGGAGGCAGCAGUGGGGAAUAUUGCACAAUGGGCGAAAGCCUGAUGCAGCGACGCCGCGUGCGGGAUGACGGCCUUCGGGUUGUAAACCGCUUUCAGCUCUGACGAAGCUUUUGUGACGGUAGGAGCAGAAGAAGCACCGGCUAACUACGUGCCAGCAGCCGCGGUAAUACGUAGGGUGCGAGCGUUGUCCGGAAUUAUUGGGCGUAAAGAGCUUGUAGGCGGCUUGUCGCGUCUGCUGUGAAAACCCGGGGCUUAACCCCGGGCUUGCAGUG